Molecule: ribosomal RNA, 433 nt
Filed under: uncultured bacterium
Lineage: Bacteria
Description: partial 16S ribosomal RNA
Rfam family: Bacterial small subunit ribosomal RNA
Source: RNAcentral
AACGAACGCUGGCGGCAUGCCUAACACAUGCAAGUCGAACGAGACCUUCGGGUCUAGUGGCGCACGGGUGCGUAACGCGUGGGAACCUGCCCUUAGGUUUGGAAUAACUCCCCGAAAGGGGUGCUAAUACCGGAUAAUGUCUUCGGACCAAAGAUUUAUCGCCUUUGGAUGGGCCCGCGUUGGAUUAGCUAGUUGGUAGGGUAAAAGCAUACCAAGGCGACGAUCAAUAGCUGGGUUGAGAGAAUGAUCAGCCACACUGGGACUGAGACACGGCCCAGACUCCUACGGGAGGCAGCAGUGGGGAAUAUUGGACAAUGGGCGAAAGCCUGAUCCAGCAAUGCCGCGUGAGUGAUGAAGGCCUUAGGGUUGUAAAGCUCUUUUACCCGGGAUGAUAAUGACAGUACCGGGAGAAUAAGCCCCGGCUAACUCCGUG